AAAUCCGCUUUGAUAAUGCUGGGAUGUGAUGGGGAGCGAAAUUUAGUAGCGAAGUAGCUGAUUUCACACUGUCAAGAAAAGUCUCUAUCGAGGUUAAAGGUACCCGUACCGCAAACCGACACAGGUGGGUGAGGAGAGUAUCCUAAGGCCAGCGAGAGAACUGUUGUUAAGGAACUCGGCAAAAUGACCCCGUAACUUAGGGAUAAGGGGUGCCACCAUCAGGUGGCCGCAGAGAAUAGGCCCAAGCGACUGUUUACCAAAAACAUAGGUUUCUGCUAAGUCGCAAGACGAUGUAUAGGAGCUGACGCCUGCCCGGUGCUGGAAGGUUAAGGGGAUCUGUUAGAGCAAUCGAAGCAGUGAACUUAAGCCCCAGUAAACGGCGGCCGUAACUAUAACGGUCCUAAGGUAGCGAAAUUCCUUGUCGGGU
Molecule: ribosomal RNA, 427 nt
Filed under: Clostridioides difficile
Lineage: Bacteria; Bacillati; Bacillota; Clostridia; Peptostreptococcales; Peptostreptococcaceae
Description: partial 23S ribosomal RNA
Rfam family: Bacterial large subunit ribosomal RNA
Source: RNAcentral